AAGCGGCAACAGCUCAAAUUUGAAAUCUGGCUCUUUCAGGGUCCGAGUUGUAAUUUGCAGAGGGUGCUUUGGUGUUGGCGGCGGUCUAAGUUCCUUGGAACAGGACAUCGCAGAGGGUGAGAAUCCCGUAUGUGGUCGCCUGCCUUCGCCGUGUAAAGCCCCUUCGACGAGUCGAGUUGUUUGGGAAUGCAGCUCUAAAUGGGAGGUAAAUUUCUUCUAAAGCUAAAUACCGGCCAGAGACCGAUAGCGCACAAGUAGAGUGAUCGAAAGAUGAAAAGCACUUUGGAAAGAGAGUCAAACAGCACGUGAAAUUGUUAAAAGGGAAGCGCUUGCAGCCAGACUUGCCUGUAGUUGCUCGCCUGGGCUUUUGCCCGGGUUACUCUUCUGCAGGCAGGCCAGCAUCAGUUUGGGCGGUCGGAUAAAGGUCCCUUUCACGUAUCUCCCUUCGGGGUUAACAUAUAGGGGGGACGUAAUGCGACCAGCCUGGACUGAGGUCCGCGCAUCUGCUAGGAUGCUGGCGUAAUGGCUGUAAGCGGCCCGUCUUGAAACACGGACCAAGGAGUCUAACAUCUAUGCGAGUGUUUGGGUGUCAAGCCCGAGCGCGUAAUGAAAGUGAACGGAGGUGGGAACCCCUCGGGGCGCACCAUCGACCGAUCCUGAUGUCUUCGGAUGGAUUUGAGUAAGAGCAUAGCUGUUGGGACCCGAAAGAUGGUGAACUAUGCUUGAAUAGGGUGAAGCCAGAGGAAACUCUGGUGGAGGCUCGCAGCGGUUCUGACGUGCAAAUCGAUCGUCAAAUUUGGGCAUAGGGGCGAAAGACUAAUC
Molecule: ribosomal RNA, 822 nt
Filed under: Periconia byssoides
Lineage: Eukaryota; Fungi; Ascomycota; Dothideomycetes; Pleosporales; Periconiaceae
Description: partial large subunit ribosomal RNA
Rfam family: Eukaryotic large subunit ribosomal RNA
Source: RNAcentral